RNAcentral lists this ribosomal RNA (279 nucleotides) under uncultured bacterium. Its description in RNAcentral is "partial 16S ribosomal RNA". It matches the Rfam family "Bacterial small subunit ribosomal RNA", at positions 506 to 784 of the family's 1533-position model. The record is from RNAcentral.
UGCCAGCCGCCGCGGUAACACGGGGGGCGCACGCGUUAUUCGGAAUUAUUGGGCGUAAGGAGCAUGUAGGCGGACUGUUAAGUCUGAUGUGAAAGCCCGGGGCUCAACCCCGGAAGUGCAUUGGAUACUGGCAGUCUUGAGUAUGGGAGAGGAAAGUGGAAUUCCGAGUGUAGGAGUGAAAUCCGUAGAUAUUCGGAGGAACACCAGUGGCGAAGGCGGCUUUCUGGACCAAUACUGACGCUGAGAUGCGCAAGCGUGGGGCGCGAACAGGAUUAGAUA